AAACAUCUAAGUACCC
Molecule: ribosomal RNA, 16 nt
Filed under: Escherichia coli 2-156-04_S4_C1
Lineage: Bacteria; Pseudomonadati; Pseudomonadota; Gammaproteobacteria; Enterobacterales; Enterobacteriaceae
Description: partial 16S ribosomal RNA
Source: RNAcentral